GGGAGCUUAGCUCAGCUGGUUUAGAGCACCUGCCUUACAAGCAGGGGGUCGUGAGUUCGAAUCUCGCAGCUCCCA
Molecule: transfer RNA, 75 nt
Filed under: Bacteroidales bacterium
Lineage: Bacteria; Pseudomonadati; Bacteroidota; Bacteroidia; Bacteroidales
Description: tRNA-Val
Rfam family: tRNA
About the family: Transfer RNA (tRNA) molecules are approximately 80 nucleotides in length. Their secondary structure includes four short double-helical elements and three loops (D, anti-codon, and T loops).
Source: RNAcentral